CAGCUGAGCUAUCCCGACC
Molecule: transfer RNA, 19 nt
Filed under: Callicarpa dichotoma
Lineage: Eukaryota; Viridiplantae; Streptophyta; Magnoliopsida; Lamiales; Lamiaceae
Description: partial tRNA-Phe
Source: RNAcentral